Molecule: long non-coding RNA, 1276 nt
Organism: Solea solea (common sole)
Lineage: Eukaryota; Metazoa; Chordata; Actinopteri; Pleuronectiformes; Soleidae
Exons: 2
Source: RefSeq, a predicted model, not a curated record
UUCACAUCGCCGGUUGUUUCGUUUGGUCAUUAUGCUCAAGGCAUUUGCGUUGUGUUGUAGGGCGACGGGUUGUGUGCUGCUCCCUGUGUGCGCUACUGUGGUUGUUGUGUGUCAUAUCUCUUUGCGUUAUGGUCGGGGCUACUAGGUGGCUAAUGCUAGCGUGGUCACAGGUAAAUGCUGGCGGCUGCCUGGAGCCCUUUUUCCCCUCCCUUCUCUCGUGAGUGUCUGUUGCUGCUAAAAAGGUAUGCAAGUAUAUUGUAAAAUGCAUCCGCAUUAUUUAGUUAAAGUGACUUGACUGCUGCUUUUAAAAGUGGACACCAACGUUUUACUGUUUCGUUUACAGCACGCACAUAGUGGGCAUUAGUGGUACUGCACUAGAUUGGUUCAGGUCAUUUCUGGCAGAUAGAACUGUGUAAGGCUUGCUGGUUCAGAAUCCUCAUCUGCUCCCCUGUCAUGUGGGUCACCCGGGGCUCAGUUUUAGGACCCCUGCUUUUUUGCUUUUAUUUACUUCCCUUUGUUUCCAUUCUUAGGAAACAUGGUCUCUUCUUCCACUGUUACACCGAUGACUGCCAGAUUUAUGUAUCCCUAAAGCGGAAGGAGGCCUCCUCUCAAUUCACUUCUUGAGUCUCUUGAUGAGAUCAAAGUAUGGAUGGCCCUGAACUUUUUACAUUUUAAUGAAAGGAAGAGGUGUUUGGACCCAAUGGCUCCAGUGAGUCCCUUUCUGUUGACCUGGGCCCUUUGACACAGCAUGUAAAGCCUAUAGUCACAAAUCUGGGUUUUAAAAUGGACUGUCAAAUUUGUGCAGUGGUGAAGUCCAUCUUUUUUCAUUUAAGAAAGUUAAAGGUUAAAGUUUCCUUUCAACACAGCACAUUGAGACUGCAAUCCAUGCCCUUUGAUUAUGUCUCGCCUCGAUUACUCUAACACACUUUAUUUUGGAGUCAGUCGACGUCCCUCUCACGUCUCCCACUCAGCCAAAAUGCUGCUGCGCAUCUUUUAACUGGAGAAAUUGCUGUAGGCUGGUGCUGGUGACCUGGUGGUGGCAUCCUCCUGUGCUGUCUUGCUGUGUCCCUGGGAGCGGGUUUUCUUCACUGAGUGUCUGCCACAUGUGCCCGGUGAUUUUGUUGUUUUUCUUUGGUGGAUCCCUCCCCUGCACUAGCCUUCGUCUAUCCACUUUGGCCUCAGCCCUGAUUAGGUUUUUCCCUUUUUUGUAUGAACAAGUUUUAUUGAUAUUUUAGAACUGGUGAAUAUUUAAUAAAAGGUGUAUUUUAACUUGGAA